GAUAAACGCUGGCGGCGUGCCUAACACAUGCAAGUCGAACGAUCCCGCAAGGGAGAGUGGCGGAAGGGUGAGUAACACGUGGGAAUCUACCUCCUCGCAGGGAACAACCUCUCGAAAGAGAGGCUAAUACCCAAAGGGUCAGAAAUGAUCAGAGUCGAAAGGCGUGAGGAGAGGAGCCCGCGGCCCAUCAGCUAGUUGGUGAGGUAAUGGCUUACCAAGGCUACGACGGGUAGGGGAUCUGAGAGGAUGUCCCCCACACUGGAACUGAAACACGGUCCAGACGCCUACGGGUGGCAGCAGUGAGGAAUACUGGACAAUGGGCGAAAGCCCGAUCCAGCAACGCCGCGUGGAGGAUGAAGGCCUUCGGGUCGUAAACUUCUUUAGAGGGAGACGAGAAAGGACGGUAUCCCUAGAAUAAGCGACGGCAAACUACGUGCCAGCAGCCGCGGUAAU
Molecule: ribosomal RNA, 453 nt
Filed under: uncultured bacterium
Lineage: Bacteria
Description: bacterial SSU rRNA
Rfam family: Bacterial small subunit ribosomal RNA
Source: RNAcentral